RNAcentral lists this microRNA precursor (109 nucleotides) under Hordeum vulgare. RNAcentral's name for it is "microRNA MIR1122". It matches the Rfam family "MIR1120/MIR1122 microRNA precursor family". The record is from RNAcentral. Lineage: Eukaryota; Viridiplantae; Streptophyta; Magnoliopsida; Poales; Poaceae.
GAUGUACUCCCUCCGUCCCAAAUUUUUUGUCUUAAGUUUGUCUAGAAAUGGAUGUAUCAAAAUACUAAAACAAUAUAAGACAAGAGUUUUAGGACGGAGGGAGUAAUAA